This 2610-nucleotide unclassified non-coding RNA is filed under the name Anneissia japonica. RNAcentral's name for it is "uncharacterized LOC117119885, transcript variant X1". The record is from RNAcentral. Lineage: Eukaryota; Metazoa; Echinodermata; Crinoidea; Comatulida; Comatulidae.
UAAUCCAUGUGACAAUUAGAUUUGAAUUUAGCUAAUUAUGCCCUAUCAAGGCGUUGGUGAACAUCAACUUCCAAAAAGUAUUGUUUCCCUGUUUUCUGUGACCAUGGUCCAUGGAGUUAUAUUAUAUACAUUACUCCCGACCAAUUGCCACGAUGAUUUUCUAGGCCUAGGCCUAGGCCUGUCUAGUCUAUCAGUCGUCAUUUGCGAAGAUGGUAUCUCAAUAGAAGAGGCAGAUUUUAUGGAGGUCGUAAAAAAUUAUCCUUGUCUAUAUGACAAGAGUUGCAGAGAAUUUAAAAACAGGGAUACAAAACGGGCUGCAUGGAAAGCAGUGGGGAGAGAAUUGGGGCAUGAACACCCCGAGGCCCUUUACAAAACGAUACGAGAUCGCUUUACAAGAUACCUGAGAGGACUGAAAGUCCCCUCUGGAAGUGGGAGUGUUCCACUCUCAGCUCCUUAUGAGAGUUUGCGCUGGCUGACUGGAUUUAUUAAACACAGAAAAACUGUAUCAAACGAUGAUAUUUUCUUGCCACGUUGAUGCUAGAAAAGAUAACACAUUGAAGUGGUUAGCAGACUUGAGUGCUAAUAAUUCUACACCGCACGUGCACUUGAGUCGUGUAUAUUGGUAAUUCAGAUGCUUGUGGGCAGAGACACUGGUAUCUUGCUAUAAGGUUUACACAAUCUUCUAGCAGCAUAAGCUGUGAUGUUGUUGACAUCCAAGGUCCAGCCAUCAGUUGCUUGUGGCUGCUUCAUGAGGAUAUGAGGUAUAAAGCUGGGCACUCACUGCAUCAUAGGACGGUCAGCCAGCACUCACUGCAUCAUAGGACGGUCAGCCGGCACUCACUGCAUCAUAGGACGGUCAGCCGGCACUCACUGCAUCAUAGGACGGUCAGCCGGCAAAUUCCACUCAGCUUCCUGUGAGUCUGCUGAUUGUCGGUGGCAGUGUGAACAUUGUCAUUAAAAACAAUCCAUCGCGUGGUGUUGGGGGUGGCGCCAGAAUUUGCCCGACGGGGGCCGAUGUCCCUGACGAAGAAAAAAAUGGCCAUGGUCGGUCGUCGAUCAAAAUCCCAGGAAACCCCUGAAAAAUAUGACAAUUUAGGGUGUUUCAAAGGCUUAUUUAAUCGCAUUUUAAUUUAGAGUUUACUGAAAGUCUACUGUAGAAAAUACAUUUUUUUCCCCCGACGAAUUGUGGUUUUUCUCCCCGACAAAGGGGCCCUGGCCCCCUCCAUGGCAUUGCGUGUUCCAUAGAAUAGCGACAACCAACGGUCGCAGUGAAUGCCCGGCUUAAAUUUGACAGUCGGAGAGCUCAGGAUACUGACAUUUGCUGCAGGCAUUAACAAAUUUCAUGUGGAAUCAAAGCUAACAAUUAAUCUGUUUUUUUGAAGGAGCUAUUUUUUAAUUAUUAGUUGGCAUCUUGCAGCAGAAUGUGAGACUGGUGCCAUUAAGGUCAGAUCAUAAAGAUUUUAUUCCUAAUAAUACCAUCAUGGUCAGAUGGGUAUUCAAUGGUCAUACCAGGUGUAGCACUUUGGUCAUCGGAUUUAUUGGGUGUGAUGUAAAUAUUAAGGUUUGUUUAAUUACUCAACAACAGUGGGUCCAGUAUUAAUGAGUUUCAUUUUAUUGCUGAUAAAUUGGUUUUGAUUGGCUAAUAAUCCUAGGUAAUUUCUUAAUCAUGUGUAACUGUAAUCAUGAUUAAAAAAAUUACGAUCAGUGGCAAUUCUAAGAUAGGGAAGUGGAGGAAGUGUCAGACUACUUUAAAAUCAUAAAUUAACAUUGUAUCAUGUAAAUUUGGUGAAAGCUAGGCCUAACGCAGGCCUGUAGCGAAGUAAAAGCAAUAUUCCCCUUCCCCUUCAGGCAUACCGUAUGUUGUGUAAACUUUCAUGUUUGGCCUAGAUCUUCCUUUAAGCUUCCUCUAAUAGUGUAAUAACAUUCUACUUUUCUUUAGGGAUCUAAUUAAAGUGUUGUAAAGGGUAUUGAGGUUUGAUAUUCUGACAUGUGUAUUGGAUGAAAGAGCUCAAUUCACAACAAUGGAUGAGGGGAAAAUGUAAAAAUGAAUAAAUAAUGAAUGAAGGUAAGAAUAAAGCAAGAGUUUCGAACCCCUGACCUCAAGGUUGGGAGUCCAAGCCACAACCGAUGCACCAAACCGCUUAUACAAUACAUUAAAAAAGAGAUAAUGUACACUUCAUUUCACUGGUCAACCUUGUGUUAUUUGUGAGCAGUUCUCUAUCUUCAGUGACUGACAUGUUAAAAAACACCUUUUUAAAGUGAUUCCUUAGAUUUAUAGGCAGUGGGGUUGUGCUGGAAUUACAGGGCAUAGUGGUCUUCAUAUGAUUUACAGCAAGGGAACCCAGUGGGUAGGCUCAGGCAUCUGGUUUGCUGUAAAUCACACCUAGUUAAACAAUGAAAGUUUGGAGAAAGGGGUUUUAAGCAGGCUUUAAUUGGAGAGGUGUUUGUAGACUUACGAGCAUGAUGAAGAGGAGGAAGAGAUAUAACGAUGAAACUGAGAAAGAGGAAGAGAAAUAAUAAUAAUAAUAAUUACUUUAUUUAAACACGGAAAAACUUGAUCACCCAAGGGUGUUUUUCAUCAAGGCCGUGCAAGGCCAAGUGGUAAAAUAU